UUGACUCGCAAAUGAUAAUUGUUAUUAUUUGCACAUCUGGUCCUCGACCAGAUUGGAUAAUCUGAAAGUCAGCCAUGUAUCAGGCUCUCAGCUUAUCUCCUCAUCAGGCUAAUCACGGUUUGGCCCGGCAAUUUGCCGGGCCUUUUUUUG
Molecule: small RNA, 150 nt
Filed under: Atopomonas hussainii
Lineage: Bacteria; Pseudomonadati; Pseudomonadota; Gammaproteobacteria; Pseudomonadales; Pseudomonadaceae
Description: Pseudomonas hussainii PrrF RNA
Rfam family: PrrF RNA
About the family: PrrF RNA is a small RNA involved in iron homeostasis and is found exclusively in Pseudomonas species. Their expression is induced under iron limitation by the ferric uptake regulator (Fur) and they act to negatively regulate several genes including sodB and sdh.
Source: Rfam by way of RNAcentral